Peromyscus eremicus (cactus mouse) is the source of this 102-nucleotide small nuclear RNA. The record is from RefSeq and is a predicted model, not a curated record. Lineage: Eukaryota; Metazoa; Chordata; Mammalia; Rodentia; Cricetidae.
UUGCUUCAGCAGCAUGUAUACUAAAAUUGGAACAAUUCAGAGAAGAGUAGCCUGGCCUCUCCACAAGGAUACACUUGUGGAAUACAAGCAUUCCGCAUUUGG